RNAcentral lists this ribosomal RNA (3363 nucleotides) under Durio zibethinus. Its description in RNAcentral is "eukaryotic LSU rRNA". It matches the Rfam family "Eukaryotic large subunit ribosomal RNA". The record is from RNAcentral. Lineage: Eukaryota; Viridiplantae; Streptophyta; Magnoliopsida; Malvales; Malvaceae.
CGUGACCUCAGGUCAGGCGGGAUCACCUGCUGAGUUUAAGCAUAUCAAUAAGCGGAGGAAAAAAAACUUACCAACAUUCCCCUAGUAAUGGCGAGUCGGGAAGAGCCCAGCUUGAGAAUCGGGCACCUCCAACAUCCGAAUUGUAGUCUAAAGAAGCAUUCUCAGCGGUGAACCGGGCCCAAGUCCCCUAGAAAAAAGUGCCGGAGAAGGUGAGAGCCCCAUUGUAUCUAGACCCUGUCACACCAAGAGGCGCUGUCCGCGAGUCGGGUUGUUUGGGAAUGUAGCCCCAAUCGGGUGGUAAAUUCCAUCCAAGGCUGAAUACGGGCGAGAGACCAAUAGCGAACAAGUAUCGCGAGGGAAAGAUGAAAAGGACUUUGAAAAGAGAGUCAAAGAGUGCUUGAAAUUAUCAUGAGGGAAGCGGAUGGGGGCUGACAGUGCACCCCAAUCGGAUGUGGAAUGGCAAGAGUCGGUCUGUCGAUGGGCUCGAGGCAUAGACUGACGCAGGACGCAGCGACGGCCCAAGCCUAAGCUUUCGGUGUGCCCAUAAAGAUAUUGUCACCAUGAUCAUGGAACGCAGUAGGCACCGUCUCGAUGUGCCCCGACACCGACAUGCUCCAGGCGUCGGCCUGCGGGCUCCCCAUCCAGCCCGUCUUGAAACACAGACCAAGGAGUCUAACAUGCGUGUGAGUCAAUGGGCUAGGAAACUCAUAAGGCGUAAGAAAGCUGAUUAGCGAAAUCCCUCACGGGUGCACCGUCGACCGAUCUUGAUCUUCUGAAAAGGGUUCAAGUGCGAGCUUGCCCGUCAGGACCUGAAAGAUGGUGAACUAUGCCUGAGCGAGGCGGAGCCAGAAGAAACUCGAGUAGAGGCCGGUAGUGAUACUGACAUGCAAAUCGUUCGUUUGACUUGGGUAUAGGGGCAAAGACUAAUCGAACCCUCUAGUAACUAGUUCCCUCUGAAGUUUCCCUCAGGAUAGUUGGAGCCCCCGUUGAGUUCUAUCAGGUAAAGCCAAUGAUUAGAGGCAUCGGGGGUGUAACGCCCUCGACCUAUUCUCAAACUUUAAAUAGGUAGGAUGACGCGGCUGUUUCCUUGAGCCGUGCCAUGGAAUCGGGAGCUCCGAGUGGGCCAUUUUUGGUAAGCAAAACUAGCGAUGCGGGAUGAAUCGGAAGUCAAGUUACGGUGCCCAACUGUGCGCUAACCCAGAACCCACAAAGGGUGUUGGUCGAUUAAGACAGCAGGACGGUGGUCAUGGAAGUCGAAAUUCCUUUAAGGAUCAGCUAGCCCCAAAAAUGGAUGGAGCUUAAACGCGUGACCUAUACCUGACCGUCGGGGCAAGGGCCAGGCCCCGAUGAGUAUGAGGGCACAGCGGUCACCGUAAAACCUGGGGUGAAAGCCCAGGUGAAACGACCAUCGGUGCAGAUCUUGGUGGUAGUAGCAAAUAUUCAAAUGAGAACUUUGAAGGCCGAAGAGGGGAAAGGUUCCAUGUGAACGGCACUUGUACAUGGGUUAGUUGAUCCUAAGAGACGAGAGAAGCCCGUCCGACAGUGCAUCUUGCACGAGAUUCGAAAUGGAAUUGGGUUAAAAUUCUUGAAUCGAGAUGCGGUGGCUGAUAGCAAUGUUAGGGAGUCUGGAGAUGUUAGUGGGGGCCUCGAAAGAGUUAUCUUUUCUGUUUAAUAGCCCGCCCACCUUGAAAACGGCUCAGCCGAAGGUAGGGUCCAGCGAUCGAAAAAGCAUCGCACAUCGAGUGGUGUUUGGUGCGCCCCCGGUGGCCCUUGAAAAUUCGAAGGACCGAGUGCCGUCCGUGCUCGAUCAUAUUCAUAACCACAUCAGGUCUCCAAGGUGAACGGCCUCUGGUCGAUGGAACAAUGUAGGUAAGGGAAGUCGACAAAAUGGAUUCGUAACCUCGAGAAAAGGAUUGGCUCUGAGAGUUGGGCACGGGGGUCCCAGUCCCGAACCCAUUGGCUAUCGAUGCACUACUCGAGCUACUCUCACGAUGAAAACGGGUCACCGCAUGCCGAUCAAAGGAUGGACUGGGAAUGGCUCCCUCGGGGGCCUUCCCCAAGCGACGAAUAGUUAACUCAAAACUAGUAUGAACAAAAGGAAUCCGACUGUUUAAUUAAAACAAAGCAUUACGAUGGUCGUUGAGGAUGCUCACACAAUGUGAUUUCUGCCCAGUGCUCUAAAUGUCAAAGUGAAGAAAUUCAACCAAGCGUGGGUAAACGACAGGAGUAACUAUGACUCUCUUAAAGUAGCCAAAUGCCUCAUCAUCUAAUUAGUGACGCGCAUGAAUGGAUUAACGAGAUUCCUACUGUCCCUGUCUACUAUCCAGUGAAACCACAGCCAAGAGAACGAGCUUGGUAGAAUCAGCGGGGAAAGAAGACCCUGCUGAGCUUGACUCUAGUUUGACUUUGUGAAAUGACUUGAGAGGUGUAGGAUAAGUGGGAGCCUGAGGGCGAAAUUAAAAUACCACUACUUUUAACGUUAUUUUACUUAUUCCGUGAAUUAGAGGCGGGGCACGACCCCUUCUUUUGGACCCAAGGCUAGCCUCAGUCGGUCGAUCCAGUGAAAGACAUUGUCAGGUGGGGAGUUUGGUUGGGGUGGCACAUCUGUUAAAAGAUAACGCAUGUGUCCUAAGAUGAGCUCAACGAAAACAGAAAUCUUGUGUGGAAUAAAAGGGUAAAAGCUCGUUUGAUUUUGAUUUCCAGCACGAAUACGAAUCGUGAAAGCAUGGCCUAUCGAUCUUUUAGACCUUCGGGAUUUAAAGCUAGAGGUGUCAGAAAAGUUACCACAGGGAUAACUGGCUUGUGGCAGCCAAGCAUUCAUAGCGAUAUUGCUUUUUAAUCCUUCGAUGUUGGCUUUUCCUAUCAUUAUGAAACAGAAUUCACCAAGUGUUGGAUUGUUCACCCACCAAUAGGGAACAUGAGUUGGGUUUAGACCAUCGUGAGACAUGUUAGUUUUACCCUACUGAUGGCGGCAUCACGAUAGUAAUUCAACAUAGUACGAGAGGAACCGUUAAUUCGCACUAUUGGUCAUCACGCUUGGUUGAAAAGCUAGUGGCGCGAAGCUACCAUGCACUGGAUUAUGACUGAACACCUCUAAGCCAGAAUCUGGGCUAGAAGUGAUGCGUGCGCCUGUCGCCCGAUUGCUGACCCACAGUAGAGGCCUAUGGCCCCAAAGGGCACGUGCCAUAGGUGCAGCCCUCAUAGCAGACGAGCCUCGCAGGCCUCCUUGGAGCUCAAUUCCCACCGAGCGACAGGUAGAAUCCUUUGCAGAUGACUUAAAUUCAUGAUGGGGUAUUGUAAGUGGCAGAGUGGCCUUGCUGCCACGAUCCACUAAGAUUCACCCCUUUUGUCGCUUCGAUUCAU